AGCGUACACGGUGGAUGCCCUGGCAGUCAGAGGCGAUGAAGGACGUGCUAAUCUGCGAUAAGCGUCGGUGAGGUGAUAUGAACCGUUAUAACCGGCGAUUUCCGAAUGGGGAAACCCAGUGUGUUUCGACACACUAUCAUUAACUGAAUCCAUAGGUUAAUGAGGCGAACCGGGGGAACUGAAACAUCUAAGUACCCCGAGGAAAAGAAAUCAACCGAGAUUCCCCCAGUAGCGGCGAGCGAACGGGGAGGAGCCCAGAGCCUGAAUCAGUGUGUGUGUUAGUGGAAGCGUCUGGAAAGGCGCGCGAUACAGGGUGACAGCCCCGUACACAAAAAUGCACAUAUUGUGAGCUCGAUGAGUAGGGCGGGACACGUGGUAUCCUGUCUGAAUAUGGGGGGACCAUCCUCCAAGGCUAAAUACUCCUGACUGACCGAUAGUGAACCAGUACCGUGAGGGAAAGGCGAAAAGAACCCCGGCGAGGGGAGUGAAAAAGAACCUGAAACCGUGUACGUACAAGCAGUGGGAGCCUCUUAAUGGGGUGACUGCGUACCUUUUGUAUAAUGGGUCAGCGACUUAUAUUCUGUAGCAAGGUUAACCGAAUAGGGGAGCCGAAGGGAAACCGAGUCUUAACUGGGCGUUAAGUUGCAGGGUAUAGACCCGAAACCCGGUGAUCUAGCCAUGGGCAGGUUGAAGGUUGGGUAACACUAACUGGAGGACCGAACCGACUAAUGUUGAAAAAUUAGCGGAUGACUUGUGGCUGGGGGUGAAAGGCCAAUCAAACCGGGAGAUAGCUGGUUCUCCCCGAAAGCUAUUUAGGUAGCGCCUCGUGAAUUCAUCUCCGGGGGUAGAGCACUGUUUCGGCAAGGGGGUCAUCCCGACUUACCAACCCGAUGCAAACUGCGAAUACCGGAGAAUGUUAUCACGGGAGACACACGGCGGGUGCUAACGUCCGUCGUGAAGAGGGAAACAACCCAGACCGCCAGCUAAGGUCCCAAAGUCAUGGUUAAGUGGGAAACGAUGUGGGAAGGCCCAGACAGCCAGGAUGUUGGCUUAGAAGCAGCCAUCAUUUAAAGAAAGCGUAAUAGCUCACUGGUCGAGUCGGCCUGCGCGGAAGAUGUAACGGGGCUAAACCAUGCACCGAAGCUGCGGCAGCGACGCUUAUGCGUUGUUGGGUAGGGGAGCGUUCUGUAAGCCUGCGAAGGUGUGCUGUGAGGCAUGCUGGAGGUAUCAGAAGUGCGAAUGCUGACAUAAGUAACGAUAAAGCGGGUGAAAAGCCCGCUCGCCGGAAGACCAAGGGUUCCUGUCCAACGUUAAUCGGGGCAGGGUGAGUCGACCCCUAAGGCGAGGCCGAAAGGCGUAGUCGAUGGGAAACAGGUUAAUAUUCCUGUACUUGGUGUUACUGCGAAGGGGGGACGGAGAAGGCUAUGUUGGCCGGGCGACGGUUGUCCCGGUUUAAGCGUGUAGGCUGGUUUUCCAGGCAAAUCCGGAAAAUCAAGGCUGAGGCGUGAUGACGAGGCACUACGGUGCUGAAGCAACAAAUGCCCUGCUUCCAGGAAAAGCCUCUAAGCAUCAGGUAACAUCAAAUCGUACCCCAAACCGACACAGGUGGUCAGGUAGAGAAUACCAAGGCGCUUGAGAGAACUCGGGUGAAGGAACUAGGCAAAAUGGUGCCGUAACUUCGGGAGAAGGCACGCUGAUAUGUAGGUGAAGCGACUUGCUCGUGGAGCUGAAAUCAGUCGAAGAUACCAGCUGGCUGCAACUGUUUAUUAAAAACACAGCACUGUGCAAACACGAAAGUGGACGUAUACGGUGUGACGCCUGCCCGGUGCCGGAAGGUUAAUUGAUGGGGUUAGCGGUAACGCGAAGCUCUUGAUCGAAGCCCCGGUAAACGGCGGCCGUAACUAUAACGGUCCUAAGGUAGCGAAAUUCCUUGUCGGGUAAGUUCCGACCUGCACGAAUGGCGUAAUGAUGGCCAGGCUGUCUCCACCCGAGACUCAGUGAAAUUGAACUCGCUGUGAAGAUGCAGUGUACCCGCGGCAAGACGGAAAGACCCCGUGAACCUUUACUAUAGCUUGACACUGAACAUUGAGCCUUGAUGUGUAGGAUAGGUGGGAGGCUUUGAAGUGUGGACGCCAGUCUGCAUGGAGCCGACCUUGAAAUACCACCCUUUAAUGUUUGAUGUUCUAACGUUGGCCCGUAAUCCGGGUUGCGGACAGUGUCUGGUGGGUAGUUUGACUGGGGCGGUCUCCUCCUAAAGAGUAACGGAGGAGCACGAAGGUUGGCUAAUCCUGGUCGGACAUCAGGAGGUUAGUGCAAUGGCAUAAGCCAGCUUGACUGCGAGCGUGACGGCGCGAGCAGGUGCGAAAGCAGGUCAUAGUGAUCCGGUGGUUCUGAAUGGAAGGGCCAUCGCUCAACGGAUAAAAGGUACUCCGGGGAUAACAGGCUGAUACCGCCCAAGAGUUCAUAUCGACGGCGGUGUUUGGCACCUCGAUGUCGGCUCAUCACAUCCUGGGGCUGAAGUAGGUCCCAAGGGUAUGGCUGUUCGCCAUUUAAAGUGGUACGCGAGCUGGGUUUAGAACGUCGUGAGACAGUUCGGUCCCUAUCUGCCGUGGGCGCUGGAGAACUGAGGGGGGCUGCUCCUAGUACGAGAGGACCGGAGUGGACGCAUCACUGGUGUUCGGGUUGUCAUGCCAAUGGCACUGCCCGGUAGCUAAAUGCGGAAGAGAUAAGUGCUGAAAGCAUCUAAGCACGAAACUUGCCCCGAGAUGAGUUCU
This 2774-nucleotide ribosomal RNA is filed under the name Escherichia coli. RNAcentral describes it as "bacterial LSU rRNA". It matches the Rfam family "Bacterial large subunit ribosomal RNA". Lineage: Bacteria; Pseudomonadati; Pseudomonadota; Gammaproteobacteria; Enterobacterales; Enterobacteriaceae. The record is from RNAcentral. RNAcentral also lists the same sequence under 1 other name.